This 599-nucleotide long non-coding RNA is filed under the name Trifolium pratense (red clover). RNAcentral describes it as "long non-coding RNA (TPRA_LNC010741)". The record is from RNAcentral. Lineage: Eukaryota; Viridiplantae; Streptophyta; Magnoliopsida; Fabales; Fabaceae.
GACUAUUAAGUAACAAUUUCCAUGAAGUACAAAAUAAAUAACAUAAACAAAGAAGAAAUAUAGUUGAAAUUUUAUGCUCAAGUGACAUAACACCGCAUCUAAAUCUUAUUAAGGUGAUAUCAAACUGUCAACAGAGAGAGACAAACUAAAGCGGUUACAAUGUUAACUGUCUGAUUUAUAACCGUCUUCCCCAAUAUGGAUAAUUGUUUGAAAACAUACGGGGCACCCAUUUUCUAGCUACGAAGCGAGUAUAGCCGGACCCAUAUUUUAUCAUGUCAUUUCGAUAAGAAAUCGCAUCUUCCCAGGUCCAAUCAAGCUGGUUCGGUGGAUAAAUUUUGGACAGAAUGAUAGUGUCUCUACGGAACAGAGACAGGAACAGGUAUGAAAUACCUUUCUUGUAACGAAAUGCCUGUCCUACUUGUAUCAUCCAUGCAGAUUUCGGAAGCUGGGAAACAGGCAUAUGAAUCAAACCACAAAUGUAUAAUCAAAUUCUAAUUCAACAAAAUAAUAAAUAAUAAUAAAUAAAAUCGAGAGAAUGUACACAAAGAGAAAGAAUAAGAGAAUGCCGACUGAGACUGUACACUUUAGGUUUAUGUUUG